Molecule: ribosomal RNA, 301 nt
Filed under: uncultured bacterium
Lineage: Bacteria
Description: partial 16S ribosomal RNA
Rfam family: Bacterial small subunit ribosomal RNA
Source: RNAcentral
CAGCCGCCACGGGAAUACGAAGGGGGCUAGCGUUGUUCGGAUUUACUGGGCGUAAAGCGCACGUAGGCGGAUCGAUCAGUCAGGGGUGAAAUCCCAGAGCUCAACUCUGGAACUGCCUUUGAUACUGUCGAUCUGGAGUAUGGGAGAGGUGAGUGGAAUUCCGAGUGUAGAGGUGAAAUUCAUAGAUAUUCGGAGGAACACCAGUGGCGAAGGCGGCUCACUGGUCCAUUACUGACGCUGAGGUGCGAAAGCGUGGGGAGCAAACAGGAUUAGAUACCCCCGUAGUCCCUGUCUCUUAUAC